RNAcentral lists this ribosomal RNA (775 nucleotides) under uncultured Neocallimastigales. Its description in RNAcentral is "partial large subunit ribosomal RNA". It matches the Rfam family "Eukaryotic large subunit ribosomal RNA", at positions 26 to 645 of the family's 3401-position model. The record is from RNAcentral. Lineage: Eukaryota; Fungi; Neocallimastigomycota; Neocallimastigomycetes; Neocallimastigales.
CGUCUAUAUACGUAUAGCAUAUCAAUAAGCGGAGGAAAAGAAACUAACUAGGAUACCCUCAGUAACGGCGAGUGAAGCGGGAAGAGCUCAAAUUUGAAAUCUUCAAGGUUCUACCUUGACGAAUUGUAGUUUAAAGAAGUGUUUUCUGUUGGAGUUUUGGUAAAAGUUCUUUGGAAUAGGACAUCAUAGAGGGUGAGAAUCCCGUAUUUGACCAUUAUUUCCAGCUUUGUGAUACACUUUCAAAGAGUCGGAUUGUUUGGGAAUGCAGUCCAAAAUGGGUGGUAAAUUUCAUCUAAAGCUAAAUAUUGGCGAGAGACCGAUAGCGAACAAGUACCGUGAGGGAAAGAUGAAAAGAACUUUGAAAGGAGAGUUAAACAGUACGUGAAAUUGUCAAAAGGGAAGCGUUUGACACCAGUGUUGUUUUCUCGAAAAUCAAUUAAAAAAGACCGGAUUUUGUGUUGUAUUGACUUUAUCAGCUUUCUGCACUCUUUUCUUGUCUUUUUUAAUGCACUUUUCGUUUAACAAGUCAACAUCAAUUUCUUUUGUUGUAAAAGGGUCAUUGGAAGGUGGCUUUCUUUUCGGAGAAAGUGUUUAUAGCCUUUGGCCUCUGCAAUCGGAGAGAUUGAGGUCUGCAGCGUAGAUCCUUCGGGGUUAGAUACAUUUGUGCUAAGUUAUAGCCUUUCAUAGACAACUUGUUGACUAUGAUCAGUCAUGUAGGCUUACUCGCUUAUGCUAUUUUACCUACGCUUAGGAUGUUGAAGUCAUCGUAUCGCGC